This 87-nucleotide transfer RNA is filed under the name Candidatus Berkelbacteria bacterium. Its description in RNAcentral is "tRNA-Leu". It matches the Rfam family "tRNA". Rfam says of the family: Transfer RNA (tRNA) molecules are approximately 80 nucleotides in length. Lineage: Bacteria; Candidatus Berkelbacteria. The record is from RNAcentral.
GCCGACGUGGCGAAACUGGCAGACGCGCGUGGUUUAGGACCACGUGUCCGCAAGGACUUGCAGGUUCGACUCCUGCCGUCGGCACCA